Long non-coding RNA from Acinonyx jubatus (cheetah), 418 nucleotides. RefSeq lists it as uncharacterized. NCBI's taxonomy places the organism in Eukaryota, Metazoa, Chordata, Mammalia, Carnivora, Felidae. The record is from RefSeq and is a predicted model, not a curated record. The transcript has 2 exons.
CCUAUCUGCUUCCCCAAGAAACACGGGUUUGGGGAAUGUUUGGAUAUCCAGCUGGCCAAAUGUCUAUGCUCUCCCAGCCCAUCAAAGGGCGUGGAAGGUUUCCACAACAGACUGGCAAGAGAGUAGGAACAGGACAGGCAAUUCCCCUGUGUGGAAAGCAGCGUCCUGAGAGAAACCACUGGUCUCUGUGCCCUGGGAGGAGUCCAGACGCCAUCUUUGUUGUCCGAAGUCAGUCUUGUGACUGUCAACAACCCCUGGAAUAGUUGGGCAAAUGCCCGGUCAUGACUCAAUACCGAGAUACACACAAGUCACCCUGGACUCGGUUUCUUCAGCCUCGACAGCUGGUCCACUGGCAGGCCGUCUGCCCCAACAACCAAGUGCAUACUCCAUGCUGACAUGCGUGUGGACCCCAGCUGCC